Dreissena polymorpha is the source of this 2755-nucleotide long non-coding RNA. RefSeq lists it as uncharacterized. The record is from RefSeq and is a predicted model, not a curated record. Lineage: Eukaryota; Metazoa; Mollusca; Bivalvia; Myida; Dreissenidae. The transcript is spliced from 3 exons.
CAUCACAAUAUACAGAAAUCAAUUCGAACGCACAAAUUGCAAGAUAUAAGCGUGCACAUCGAGGCUCUGAAUGCUAAAGUCACCAACAACCAAAAAUGUUGUGAGCUUUGCACAUCAAACGAGAAAUCAAUUCCUGCAUGCUACUUUUGUGCCGAAUGCGAAAAUGAAGUUCUAUGUGAGACAUGCGGUAAACAUCAUACUUUACAAAAAUCAACCAAAAGACACAAACUACAAGAUAUAAGACAGUACGUGGUAGUUGCGAAUCCUGAUAUCAUCAAAAAUCAAAAGUUGUGUGAGCUUUGCAAGGCAAACGGUAAACCAAUUCCUGCAAGCUACUUUUGCGCCGAUUGUGAUAAUGAAUUUCUGUGUGAGACAUGUGGUAAACAUCACAAUAUACAGAAAUCAACUAAAAAGCACACAUUGAAAGAUAUAAGUCAGUACGUGGAUGUUCCGAAUUCUGAAAUCAUCGCCAAACUAUUGCUUUGCGAGUUUUGCACACAGCAAACGAGAAAUCUAGCCCUGCGUGCUACUUUUGUCCCGAAUGUGAAAAUGAAUUUCUUUGUGAGAGAUGCAGUAAACUUCACAAAAUACAAAAGUCAACUAAAACGCACACAUUGCAAGAUAUAGAUCAUUACGUUGAAGUUCAGAAUUUAAACAUCAACACAAAAUUUUCUUGCGAGCUUUGCACAGCAAACGAGCUAUCGAGCCCUGCAUGUUUCUUUUGCGCUGAAUGCAAAAACGAAUUUCUAUGUGAAAUAUGCGGUAACCAUCACAACAUACAAAAGUCAACUCGAACGCCCAAAUUGCAAGACGUAAGUCAGUACUUCGAAACUGCAAAACAUAAAAUAACGAACAACCAAAAGAUGUGCAUGUCUUGCGCAGCAAAUUAGAAAUCAAGUCCUGCAUGUUUAAUUUGUACAGGAUGUGAUAAUGAAUUUCUUAGUUAGGCAUGUGGAAAACGUCACAACAUACAGAAAUCAACUCGUUCUCAUAAAUUACAAACGACAACCCUUAUGAAAGAACUUUGAUUGAAAGUGACAAACAGUGGCUGUGUGAGCCUUGUAGAUCACGAGAUAAUUCAAACUAUGCGGUUUCUUUUUGUGUAGAAUGUCAUAAUGAAUUACUCUGUCAACAUUGUGGCAAAUAUCACAUUUCAAGGGAGUCGAAUCGAUGACAUACGUUAACAGAUAUAAAGCAAUAUAUGGAAAAUAAGAAAAUUAAGAUAGAUGACCAACGAAAAUUGAUUUGCGAUCCAUGUAAAGAACAAAAUAAGUACAUCUUCGCGGCUUGGUUGUGUGCAGAAUGUGAAAAUGAAAUGCUUUGCGAGGAAUGUGCGAUAUAUCACAAAGCAAACAAGUUAUUCCUAGAUCACGCAUUGAAAAAUAUUAACAGCUUUGAGGAAGCUGAUUACACCGGAAAACACGUGGAGUUUUGUGGACCAUGUUCAGUACUAAAGAAAGCAUACCCUGCCGUUUAUUUGUGUGCAGCAUGUAAACACGAAAAGCUUUGUGACAGCUGCGCAAAAUAUCACACAUUACAGAAGUCGUUUUGAAAGCAUGUGUUGCAAAUAAUAGACGGCCAUCAAGAUGCCGCUGCUCGUUCAGCGGAUUCCAUCGAUUCGGAAAGUACCCCUGGUCAGCCAACAGCAAUCAACGUAGGUUCCGAUAACAUUACCCUGACUUGGGAAAAGCCUUCUUUGUUCACGACUGGAGCUUAUUUCCAGAUAGUUUGCAGAGAAUAUAAGGAGACUAAGUGGAAGAUUUGCUAUGACAAUGUUGAAACAAACAUUGUUGAAUUGCACAACGUAAAAUCUGACGUACAAUUUGUCUUUCGCAUUCGAGCUGUAUAUAAUGACUAUGAAAGUAAUUAUAGCAAAGAAAGUGAAAUAGUGACAACAAAAAAAUCUCCUGCAUCUCAUAUUGUUAAAUUUUCUACUAUUCGUAGCGUUGCGAAUACGAUUCCCGUCCAUUAUGCACUACCUAUGAACGAAGUCAAAACAGCGCAAAAUAGGGAAAACAAGGAAAUUUGAUAUUGGGUCUCCGAGAAAAUUGAAUUGGAAGGAGAGGACAGUUUUACUAAUCGGUGAAACAGGAACCGGAAAAAGUACACUUGUUGAUUGUAUGGCAAACUACAUACUUGGUGUGAAUUGGAAUGAUGAAUUUAGGUUUGCAAUUAUAAGUCUUGAAGAUGAAGAAAGACAGAAGGAGGCUAAUCAGGUAGAUAUCAAUUUAUAAAUAGCAUAUUAUUAUCAUAUAAAAGUUCUUGAAAACGUAAAUUCUGGUUGGAAUUGGUAAUACAUGUUAGUGAUAUUUGUAUUUAAUUCGACGGUUUAAAUCAAAAGGGUUCUAACUUACUCUUCUUUUUUUUCAGAAAAUGACUUUUUAUGUGUAUAUUGUAUCGAGACAUCAAUGCCUAUCUUGCAAUAACAUAUAUUAUUUCCAGUCCUUUUUAAAAGUAAAAUGACAACUUGUCCAAACGAUUUUGAGUGAAAUUUACUUUUUUAAUCCGAAAAUGUGAAAUGUGCAGUGCAGUGCCACUUGUAACUUUCGCAUUUAGGUUUUGAUAUUAAGAAACCCUUUUAGUGACAAUUAUUAUCUCUUUUUAUUUCGAUUGUUUUUCUUAAAUUGGGUUUAUUUAUUUUAGUACAUUUUUGGUCUCUUAUUGACAUUAUUUCUUUUCGGUUUAAGUCUAUUUCAACAUAAACAUGGCCAAAAACCUUGUUGCAUUUUGAAAGUUGACAGAGAUGUUUUCCUCA